This is a long non-coding RNA of Lethenteron reissneri (Far Eastern brook lamprey), 319 nucleotides long. RefSeq lists it as uncharacterized. Lineage: Eukaryota; Metazoa; Chordata; Hyperoartia; Petromyzontiformes; Petromyzontidae. The record is from RefSeq and is a predicted model, not a curated record.
GGGCGCGGCACCGUCGCUCUCACCCUGGCGGAGUGCAGCAACACAGUGGAGCGGCACCAGCGGGACACUCUGGACAACGCAGCCAAGGCUGUUGCCCCGCUCGCCCGACUCGUUGAGAGGCUUGCCCACCCCCCAGGGCGUUGUCGUGAAGAUACCGCUGGGAGGAAGAAUAUCUCACAAUACUGGAAGAGGUGGCUCUGGAAUAACCCUUCAACCCCUCACCUGGGGUCGGGGGGGGGGAACUCGGCCUCUCAACGGUCCCGGUUCUCUCUCUAACUCAGGGUGGCACCCCCUGUCGACUCGUGCCCGCAACUACAGG